Molecule: unclassified non-coding RNA, 2672 nt
Filed under: Hevea brasiliensis (rubber tree)
Lineage: Eukaryota; Viridiplantae; Streptophyta; Magnoliopsida; Malpighiales; Euphorbiaceae
Source: RNAcentral
GUUGAGGUUUGCAUGAUGAUGGUUAACAGGACACCACUGUGUCAUGGUGUGACUUUGAUAAGCUGCCAUCUUACUAUGGAAAAGGUGAAAUUAUCUAAUGCCAUUGCGAUUAUAGAUGACACGAAUUUUUGUCGAUUGUGAUAUGUCUUACUCAGCCAUGGUUUGAUAAGAAUGGAAAUGCUUAUAUUAGAGUGUAUUUACAUCUGUUGAUCUGUUCCUAUUCAGUGUCUGGUUUUGAUUAGAAAAAUGGCAAACUUGGAUAUCAUAAUCUAUGAUUUAAGUUUUAUAUUUUAGAUUUCAAGGUUUUCACUUCUUUUCCUCCUUUUCUUUUCAAAUCCAAAAUAUGCCAACUUGUUAAUUGGUCUGUCAGUACAUAUAUGUGGUUUGAGAAUUCACUCAAAUGCUAAUUGACUGCUACAGUCUUACUUGCUGCAUGUCUGGUGUGAUAAGUUUUACAUAUUGAAGUAUCUUAUUUGGAUUAUUUAAAUCCUAUAAUAAGUUGAUUUCGCUUGUAAUUUCAUUAGACUUUUCAUACCAAUGUUUUAAUUGCUGUUUCAAACCUUAGAGAAUUUUAGCAGCAUACAAAUAUUUUGUGGUUGUUGAUAUGAAAAAUUUAUAUUGUUCUUCUUGAUGAAUUUGGUUGUGGUAUUUAUUUAUUUAUUUCCAUUCUGGAGGCUGUUUGAUAGUUUUGUCUAGUGGCAUAAGUGACAGAUCCAUAAAUUGGUGUGGACUUUCCAAUUUGUUCUAUCUACACUUUUUAUUUCAAAUAUCUAACUUAUGUCUUUACCAUCUUAUCGUCAAAAUGUCAUUUAAGUGUCAUGUUAGAUUUGAGCCAAUUCAUUAUGAAGUCAUGUCUAUUGAAUGAGCUUUAUAUCUUUCAGUUUGCAGAAAACAAAAAUAUGGAAAAUCAUAGCUUUAUUUUUGAGUUUUAACUUAGGCAAUAAUUUUUGGUAUCAUCACUUUGUAGGAAACUUAACAGGCAUUUGUUAUGUACAACCUGUAAAAUUCUUGACUUCAUUUUAUAGGGGAUUUUGUUUAUUUUCACUUAUAAAGGCCUUUUUGUCAAGUUAUGACUUGAAAUUCAUGGUAAUUUGAUUAUUGGAAGAAAUUCAAAAAAUGAUAAAAAGGGAGGGAGUUUGUGGCACAAUGUAACUCUUCUGCCCGCAGAUGACUUAAAAUUAUUACUAGAUCUAGAGUAGUUGCUUAAGCCUGAACAGAUCAGAAGUCUUCUGCCUCUCUAUCUCUCUUGGCUCUAGCAUAAUAGUCAAUUUACAAAAAUGCAUACUAAAUGAGAAAUUUGGAAUAUACUAUUUUUCCUCCUUAUUCUAUGCGUGAAGUUUUCCAUUUAUGAAGAAUCCAUUUUCCAACCUGCAGAAGUUUAGAACCAGUUGCAAGUUACAAAAUUUAUUUAUUAUUUACUUUUAGUUUAGAACAUUCAAACUCAUGUUCAUAUUUAGCAUAGAAAGAGUGAAAAUAGUCUCUGCAAUGUAGGGUUUGAAGCUUGGUCGCAGUUCCACUUUUGUGAAAGCCCAGUUGAAUGAGGUAAGUUUCUUUCAGUGGUUUUCAUUAGAGGAUAUCUUUUCAAAUUUUUGUUCCUGUCUGGACAUGCUUUUGCGGUCAUUUGCCUCCUUCAAGGUUGCUGUGGAUGGAUCCUCAAAUGCUGCUGCCUCACCUCUAACCAAAUCAGAAGUACCGUCACAGGAAGCAAAGGAUGCUAAGCCAUCAAAUGAGCCUGCACCUCCAACUUUGGCUACAGAGGAGUCAAUAUCUGAAUUUAUUACACAAGUUUUAAGCCUUGUGAAGCUGGUUGAUUCAAGAGAUAUUGUGGAGUUGCAGUUAAAACAACUUGAUUGUGAACUGAUAAUCCGGAAAAAGGAGGCCUUGCCUCAGCCACCAUCUCCUGCUUCAGUGGUUAUGAUGCACUCACCUUCACCUUCACCAUCACAACUAAUGCCACCAGCCCCACCUGCGGCUUCCUCUACAGCCUCUAGUCCAGCUUCCACUGCUCCACCCCCAUCACCUGUACCUUCUGCUGCUAAAUCACUCAAGUCAUCACUUCCACCGUUUAAAUGCCCUAUGGCUGGCACAUUCUACAGAAGUCCAGCACCAGGUGAACCACCUUUGGUGACGGUUGGAGACAAAGUGCAGAAGGGACAAGUCUUAUGCAUCAUUGAGGCCAUGAAAUUGAUGAAUGAAAUAGAAGCUGAUCAGUCAGGGACCAUUAUCGAAAUUGUAGCAGAAGAUGGGAAGCCAGUCAGUGUCGACACGCCUCUGUUUGUGAUUGAACCUUAAAAGCACGCCGGUUGAGUAGACAAGUACUAGGUAAACAUUACUUGGCGAGUGCCGUUCUUGGUAAUGUUGAGAGAUGCGGCAUUGUUAUUGUAUUUGCAUGUUUUGUUUGGGAAGAGUUGUUAUGAGGGAAAACAUUAAUGAUUCUAAUAUGAGAAUUUUGUUUUUGAAAUUUAUUACUACAACUAAGAAAUAGCUUAUUUUUCCAUAUUUAGAUAGUCUGUCUAAUAAAUCGGUUGUUAGUUGCUAGUUAUAUUAGUAAAAGGUAAUUUACCUAAUGGGGUUACUCUAUUUGAAGAUACGCAAACUAUCUAAUUAGCAAUUGAAUUAUAGUUUAUUGAUUGAGUAAUUUAAAUCUGUGCUUGUUAAAUUGCAGUUUUGUG